Molecule: small RNA, 849 nt
Filed under: uncultured Lecanicillium
Lineage: Eukaryota; Fungi; Ascomycota; Sordariomycetes; Hypocreales; Cordycipitaceae
Description: eukaryotic LSU rRNA
Rfam family: Eukaryotic large subunit ribosomal RNA (bases 572-849)
Source: RNAcentral
CUUGGUCAUUUAGAGGAAGUAAAAGUCGUAACAAGGUCUCCGUUGGUGAACCAGCGGAGGGAUCAUUACAGAGUUUACAACUCCCAAACCCAAAUGUGAACAUACCUACUGUUGCUUCGGCGUGCUCGCCCCGGCGUCCGGCUGGCCUCGUGCUGGUCGCGGCCCGGAACCAGGUGGCCGCCGGAGAAAACCAAAACUCUUUGUAUUAUCAGCUUCUUCCGAAUCCGCCGCAAGGCAAAACAAAUGAAUCAAAACUUUCAACAACGGAUCUCUUGGUUCUGGCAUCGAUGAAGAACGCAGCGAAAUGCGAUAAGUAAUGUGAAUUGCAGAAUUCAGUGAAUCAUCGAAUCUUUGAACGCACAUUGCGCCCGGGAGCAUUCUCCCGGGCAUGCCUGUUCGAGCGUCAUUUCAACCCUCGAUUUCCCUUUGGGGAAGUCGGCCGUUGGAGAUCGGCAGCACUGCCGGCUCCCAAAUACAGUGGCGACCCGCCGCGGGGACCCCUGCGUAGUAACUUACACUCGCACCGGAAACCAGACGUGUCACGCCGUAAAACCCCCAACUUUCUGAACGUUGACCUCGGAUCAGGUAGGAAUACCCGCUGAACUUAAGCAUAUCAAUAAGCGGAGGAAAAGAAACCAACAGGGAUUGCCCCAGUAACGGCGAGUGAAGCGGCAACAGCUCAAAUUUGAAAUCUGGCCCCUAGGGUCCGAGUUGUAAUUUGCAGAGGAUGCUUUUGGCGAGGCGCCUUCCGAGUUCCCUGGAACGGGACGCCAUAGAGGGUGAGAGCCCCGUCUGGUCGGAUGCCAAGCCUAUGUAAAGCUCCUUCGACGAGUCGAGUUGUUUGGGAAU